This 216-nucleotide ribosomal RNA is filed under the name Glomeromycotina sp. RNAcentral's name for it is "partial small subunit ribosomal RNA". The stretch from base 40 to 216 matches the Rfam family "Eukaryotic small subunit ribosomal RNA", at positions 686 to 864 of the family's 1831-position model. The record is from RNAcentral. Lineage: Eukaryota; Fungi; Glomeromycota.
GGGUCAGUAGGUUGGUCGUGCCACCGGUACGUACUGGUCUCACUGAUUCCUCCUUCCUGAAGAACCGUAAUGCCAUUAAUUUGGUGUUGCGGGGAAACAGGACUGUUACUUUGAAAAAAUUAGAGUGUUUAAGGCAAGCUAACGCUUGAAUACAUUAGCAUGGAGUAAUGAAAUAGGACGAUCGAUCCUAUUUUGUUGGUUUCUAGGAUUGACGUA